This 253-nucleotide ribosomal RNA is filed under the name uncultured bacterium. RNAcentral's name for it is "partial 16S ribosomal RNA". It matches the Rfam family "Bacterial small subunit ribosomal RNA", at positions 524 to 776 of the family's 1533-position model. The record is from RNAcentral.
UACAGAGACUGCAAGCGUUAUUCGGAUUCACUGGGCGUAAAGGGUGCGCAGGCGGCCGUGUGUGUCAGGUGUGAAAGCCCGGGGCUUAACCCCGGAAUUGCGCCUGAAACUACAUGGCUAGAGCAUUGGAGAGGGUAGCGGAACUCACGGUGUAGCAGUGAAAUGCGUAGAUAUCGUGAGGAACACCAGAGGCGAAGGCGGCUACCUGGACAAUUGCUGACGCUCAGGCACGAAAGCGUGGGGAGCAAAAGGG